RNAcentral lists this ribosomal RNA (496 nucleotides) under uncultured bacterium. RNAcentral's name for it is "bacterial SSU rRNA". It matches the Rfam family "Bacterial small subunit ribosomal RNA", at positions 899 to 1397 of the family's 1533-position model. The record is from RNAcentral.
ACUCAAAGGAAUUGACGGGGGCCCGCACAAGCAGUGGAGUAUGUGGUUUAAUUCGAAGCAACGCGAAGAACCUUACCAGGGCUUGACAUGGAGACGACCGCUGUAGAGAUACAGCUUUCUUCGGACGUCUCACACAGGUGGUGCAUGGUUGUCGUCAGCUCGUGUCGUGAGAUGUUGGGUUAAGUCCCGCAACGAGCGCAACCCCUAUUGUCAGUUGCUAACAUUUAGUUGAGAACUCUGGCAAGACUGCCGGCGACAAGUCGGAGGAAGGUGGGGACGACGUCAAAUCAUCAUGCCCCUUAUGUCCUGGGCUACACACGUACUACAAUGGCCGUAUAACAACAGGAAGCGAAACCGCGAGGUGGAGCAAAUCCCCAAAAACGGUCUCAGUUCAGAUCGCAGGCUGAAACUCGCCUGCGUGAAGUCGGAAUUGCUAGUAAUCGCGAAUCAGCAUGUCGCGGUGAAUACGUUCCCGGGCCUUGUACACACCGCCCGU